UACAGAGGUCUCAAGCGUUGUUCGGAUUCAUUGGGCUUAAAGGGUGCGUAGGCGGCGCGGUAAGUCGGAUGUGAAAUCCCGGGGCUUAACUUCGGAACUGCAUUCGAUACUGCGAUACUCGAGGACUCGAGAGGAGAUUGGAAUUCACGGUGUAGCAGUGAAAUGCGUAGAUAUCGUGAGGAAGACCAGUGGCGAAGGCGGAUCUCUGGAGAGUUCCUGACGCUGAGGCACGAAGGCCAGGGGAGCAAACGGG
Molecule: ribosomal RNA, 253 nt
Filed under: uncultured bacterium
Lineage: Bacteria
Description: partial 16S ribosomal RNA
Rfam family: Bacterial small subunit ribosomal RNA
Source: RNAcentral